This is a non-coding RNA of Paramuricea clavata, 242 nucleotides long. Lineage: Eukaryota; Metazoa; Cnidaria; Anthozoa; Malacalcyonacea; Plexauridae. The record is from the annotation of a GenBank genome assembly.
CAAACACUUAUCAAUUUGUGCGUCAAGGAAGUCGUAAUUGUUUGUCACUUUUAACCGACUUAAGUCCACUCUUUGUAAGCAAACUCUUUGUAUACAGUCACAAUGACUGCUGGAUUUUAUUAAAGUCAACAUACUUGAAACCAACUAUAGGUUCAUCUGAUUACACGUGAGCUAUAAAAGAACAAACUACCGUAAAUAUACUGUAUUUAACAAAGGAAUUUCUUACGGGAAUUUUCUUGAUG